Molecule: long non-coding RNA, 379 nt
Filed under: Danio rerio (zebrafish)
Lineage: Eukaryota; Metazoa; Chordata; Actinopteri; Cypriniformes; Danionidae
Description: si:ch211-276c2.3 (ENSDARG00000097078.2)
Source: RNAcentral
AGAGCUGCUAGCGACAGUUGGUUAUAGUUUGUCGUACAGCAAACGUUUGACGCUUGUUAAAGAGCAAAAAUGAGACGGCUAAUCUCUUAAAACUGUUUUUAUUAACCAAGAUACAGAAAGUGCGGCGAUGACCACAUGAAGGAGCAAUCUGGGUCGAGCGGAUGUGUUAUGAAUGUGUGUGAUCUUACUGCACUGCGGUGGAAAUGCGGAGGUGACGAGAGCCCAUAGUAGGAAACUGCCGAGAGUUGAUGUAGGAAACUUUCCUCAGCGCGCCGUUCAUCUGCUCCAGAUCCUCAGCCUCCAUCACCAGCACAGACUGAGCCGGAUUCAGGUGAAACUGACACACAGAGACAGAGCAAAAAUAAAGAUGUAGCACUGU